Non-coding RNA from Anas platyrhynchos (mallard), 1382 nucleotides. The record is from RefSeq and is a predicted model, not a curated record. NCBI's taxonomy places the organism in Eukaryota, Metazoa, Chordata, Aves, Anseriformes, Anatidae.
UUGUUUUGACAGAAAGGCUGUGGUAAAUGAAUGACGUUUGAGCGAGGUGUGAAAUGUGAAGGUACAAAAUUAACUGGCUGUCCUGGUGAUUGAUGUGAUUGUAGAGAAGAUGACAGAGGCCAAAGCCAGAGGACUGACAGAACCAAAGGAGCCAAUUCUGGUCCUUUGAGAUCGAGCCUGGAGGAUAUCCUACUUUGAUUUGGUCCUCUUACACCUUAUCAUGCAAUGUUCUGUACAGUUUCUCUAUAUUGUUGUCUUCAUGUGUCAAGAGCCAGCACAUUGUCAUGAGGUGAAUAUAAGUCUGUACUGAGGAACCUUGAAGGCAAUUAUAUGUGAAGUUGGCAAGGAGUAGAAGACUCUUUUUGUGCAGCGUAGAUACCUAGUUGCUUCUUCUAGCAUUGUGCACAGUAUAGCCACCAUACAAUGACAGGUAACUAUGACACAUCUUCUUUUCCUAUAUGAAAUUUUUCCCUGAAUGUGUAAGCCACUACUGAUCUUUUAUACCAUCAGGUUUAUGGAGGUGGAAAGGGGUUUCCAAUGGGAAUUUUACAUGAUGAUGUUUCAAAAUACAUAUUUUGUGUUUUGGUAGUUCAUCUCUUGUUUUAAAAUAACUCACCUGCCAUUUUAAGGCCGAAUGUAGGUGUGCUGGCACUGGUAAUUAGUUUAUGUCAACACCAUUAUCCUUUUCUCCCCAACAUGUGCAACUCAUCAGUCUACAGCAUACCUUGGUUUAAUCUGUCAUUUCUCCUUCUUAAAACUGCUUAUGUAGUUUUAGUAGCUGCUUUAGUAGUUGCACAGAUGAUUUCCAGGAAAUAAAGGAUAGCCAAGGUAGCGGGAAGACAAAGGUAUUCACUGUAUGUGGUGAAGUAGUAGCAAGGAUUCUUCUCAGUGACUUGGUGAGCAAAAAUUCAAGAAAUGUAGAAAAAAGUUUUGGCACCAGGUCUCCAGUGAUGAGUAAUUGUGUUGGCUGCUGCGCUGGUAAUUAACAUGGAACAGAUAGCUACACGGAAGAUUGCAAUAUGAUACAUGCUACCAAACUCUCAGUUAAAGAGUUGGAUCCUAUCAGUUGUCUUUAGUGUGACUGUGCUUUAAGGCUCCACUCAGACAGUAUUUAUAUUGUUCAAAAUCUCAUGUCUGGAUCCUAGCUAAACCUGUAAACAUAUACUGAAAUUAUUUACAGUGUAAUUGUAAAGACUACUUCAGGUGGUUUAAAAAUGACAUUUUUAGUGACAUUAGUGAUAUCAGAGCCCAGCACAAAAUACAGAAAAAGCAAUUUUCAUUGUGCAUUAAUACUGACUUAUUGUCAGAAACAUAACUUUUCUAUGUAAAUAUUAAUCAUUUUGUUUAAACAUUAAAGGUGUGUCUUUAUUCUAAAUGGUAAA